ACAUGUUCAUCAACAAAAGAGGAAUUUCUAAACACAUGAAAUCAACGAAUCAAGUGGAUUUAGAGACAGAUUGGAACUCAACAGAGGAGUUGAAUUAGAUCGUGGUUUCAUUGGGAGAUUUGGGGAUGAGAUGCCUCAUGAAAUGCGAACCCCACGGCUAGGUUCGCGUGAUCUGAUCUCACGCUGGAUCUCGUGCAGGAAGGAGAGAGAGAGACAGAGAGAUUAAAAAGCGAGUGCUAAGGAGGUGAGAGACAGGACCGAUUGAAAUAGCUAAUGGCCUCGAUAUGACGAACCUUUGGUUAAGAGUCUUACGG
This 314-nucleotide long non-coding RNA is filed under the name Actinidia chinensis (golden kiwifruit). Its description in RNAcentral is "long non-coding RNA (ACHI_LNC009435)". Lineage: Eukaryota; Viridiplantae; Streptophyta; Magnoliopsida; Ericales; Actinidiaceae. The record is from RNAcentral.